UGCAAAUGAUGUGCAAACGGUCAAUUGUAAUUUAGAUCUUGUGAUUAGGAAGCUCUCCCUGUAUAGACUCGUGUGACUCUAUUUCUAUAGCGAUGGUGUAUAAGAAAAUUCGUUACAAGAAAAGUGGCCUUCACGGUGACACAUGGGUGACCCGUUGGGUGGACACAGAUCACUGGCCCUACUGGUGCAGAGAUUGGUACGAAGUAGCACCAACAGUGGAGACAAGGAUUAAGAUUGAAACGGAAACAGGACUCUACAACAAGAAGGAGGUUCACGAGGUGUCUGUUCAGCAUGAUGCCACAACAUCUGUAUCCGUGGAAACUAAACCAAUCCGUGAGUGGGAAAGAACGACAUCCAAGGCUUUGGCAUUGAAAUAAUUUACCCACAAUCGUGGAAAACUUCUAACACAUCUCUGCACAAUUGCUCCAGAAUGGCACACAAUUGCUGCAAUUAAAUUGAGUCGUCGUGGUUGAGACAAAAAGUAACUCCACGAUUAAUUAACUAACAUUUAUACGUUUUGUAUAUACGCAAUGGUCAAAAUAUAUGGCAAAUAAAGCGGCAAAAA
Molecule: long non-coding RNA, 565 nt
Organism: Lutzomyia longipalpis
Lineage: Eukaryota; Metazoa; Arthropoda; Insecta; Diptera; Psychodidae
Exons: 3
Source: RefSeq, a predicted model, not a curated record